UAGCAAUGGACAGUCGGUAUAUUCACAUCAACCAGACAAAGCUGCACUGGUGAAGCUCAACCUCAGUUUCCCUCUCUUGAAGGGUCUAGUGCCAGUUGGGAAGUUCUUUUCAAAAGGCUUUACAAACUCAUUCAGUUGACAGAACAAUCCUCAGAGUUGGAUGAGCAUGUGGAUUCUCUGCUGCAGUUCCUUCGAUCUGUUCCUGGUCUGAAGGAAGUAAAAGUUUGGCUAAACAACCUGAUUGAGAGCUGGGCAGCUGGUCUGUUCACCCUCUUCCUGUCUUGUUCCAACUUACUUCAUUUGCAACUGAAAACAGAUAUGUCUGGUAUUAAUGAUGUGGAGAGUCUGGGUAUAUUGAGAGAUGAGAGAGUGAGACUCUCUGUCGGCUGUAAUCAUCUGAAUUAUAUAGAUGAGUGUUGUGAUAUAAACCUCUUUGAACCUCCAGUGCACAAAGUGCUUCCUUGUGUCACCAUCACAUUGACAGAUGACUCUGAGAAUGCAAAUGCUGACUGGAAGAAAUUCUUUCAUGCCUACAACCAGCUGAAAGACUUGACU
Long non-coding RNA from Labeo rohita (rohu), 555 nucleotides. RefSeq lists it as uncharacterized. NCBI's taxonomy places the organism in Eukaryota, Metazoa, Chordata, Actinopteri, Cypriniformes, Cyprinidae. The transcript has 4 exons. The record is from RefSeq and is a predicted model, not a curated record.